UACGUAGGGUGCGAGCGUUGUCCGGAAUUAUUGGGCGUAAAGAGCUCGUAGGCGGUGUGUCACGUCGGCCGUGAAAACCUGGGGCUUAACUCUGGGCGUGCGGUCGAUACGGGCAUCACUAGAGUUCGGCAGGGGAGACUGGAAUUCCUGGUGUAGCGGUGAAAUGCGCAGAUAAUCGGGAGGAACACCGGUGGCGAAGGCGGGUUCUCU
This 210-nucleotide ribosomal RNA is filed under the name uncultured bacterium. Its description in RNAcentral is "partial 16S ribosomal RNA". It matches the Rfam family "Bacterial small subunit ribosomal RNA", at positions 524 to 730 of the family's 1533-position model. The record is from RNAcentral.